CUGAUCCAGCCAUGCCGCGUGAGUGAUGAAGGCCUUAGGGUCGUAAAGCUCUUUCGCCAGAGAUGAUAAUGACGGUAGCAGUAGAAGAAACCCCGGCUAACUCCGUGCCAGCAGCCGCGGUAAUACGGAGGGGGUUAGCGUUGUUCGGAAUUACUGGGCGUAAAGCGUACGUAGGCGGAUUAAUAAGUUAGAGGUGAAAUCCCAGGGCUCAACCCUGGAACUGCCUUUAAAACUGUUAGUCUUGAGAUCGAGAGAGGUGAGUGGAAUUCCAAGUGUAGAGGUGAAAUUCGUAGAUAUUUGGAGGAACACCAGUGGCGAAGGCGGCUCACUGGCUCGAUACUGACGCUGAGGUACGAAAGUGUGGGGAGCAAACAGGAUUAGAUACCCUGGUAGUCCACACCGUAAACGAUGAAUGCCAGACGUCAGCAAGCAUGCUUGUUGGUGUCACACCUAACGGAUUAAGCAUUCCGCCUGGGGAGUACGGUCGCAAGAUUAAAACUCAAAGGAAUUGACGGGGGCCCGCACAAGCGGUGGAGCAUGUGGUUUAAUUCGACGCAACGCGCAGAACCUUACCAACCCUUGACAUACUUGUCGCGGAUUCCAGAGAUGGAUUCCUUCAGUUCGGCUGGACAGUGUACAGGUGCUGCAUGGCUGUCGUCAGCUCGUGUCGUGAGAUGUUCGGUUAAGUCCGGCAACGAGCGCAACCCACGUCCUUAGUUACCAGCAUUUAGUUGGGUACCCUAAGGAGACUGCCGGUGAUAAGCCGGAGGAAGGUGUGGACGACGUCAAGUCAUCAUGGCCCUUACGGGUUGGGCUACACACGUGCUACAAUGGCAUCUACAGUGAGUUAAUCUCCAAAAGAUGUCUCAGUUCG
This 874-nucleotide ribosomal RNA is filed under the name uncultured Roseobacter sp. RNAcentral describes it as "bacterial SSU rRNA". It matches the Rfam family "Bacterial small subunit ribosomal RNA", at positions 383 to 1295 of the family's 1533-position model. Lineage: Bacteria; Pseudomonadati; Pseudomonadota; Alphaproteobacteria; Rhodobacterales; Roseobacteraceae. The record is from RNAcentral.